This 73-nucleotide transfer RNA is filed under the name Myroides odoratus. RNAcentral's name for it is "tRNA-Thr". It matches the Rfam family "tRNA". Rfam says of the family: Transfer RNA (tRNA) molecules are approximately 80 nucleotides in length. RNAcentral also lists the same sequence under 4 other names. Lineage: Bacteria; Pseudomonadati; Bacteroidota; Flavobacteriia; Flavobacteriales; Flavobacteriaceae. The record is from RNAcentral.
CCGGUGUAGCUCAGCUGGCUAGAGCAGCUGAUUUGUAAUCAGCAGGUCGUGGGUUCGAGUCCCUCCAUCGGCU